Molecule: long non-coding RNA, 2663 nt
Organism: Oryzias javanicus (javanese ricefish)
Lineage: Eukaryota; Metazoa; Chordata; Actinopteri; Beloniformes; Adrianichthyidae
Source: Ensembl
CAGACACGAGCAGACGGCUCAGACAGGAGCCGAUGGCUCAGACACGCGCAGACGGCUCAGACAGGAGCAGACGGCUCAGACAGGAGCAGACACGCGCAGACGGCUCAGACAGGAGCAGACGGCUCAGACACGCGCAGACGGCUCAGACAGGAGCAGACGGCUCAGACAGGAGCAGACACGCGCAGACGGCUCAGACACGAGCAGACGGCUCAGGCAGGAGCAGACGGCUCAGGCAGGAGCAGACGGCUCAGACAGGAGCCGACGGCUCGGACAGGAGCAGACGGUUCAGACAGGAGCAGACGGUUCAGACAGGCGCAGACGGCUCAGACAGGAGCCGACGGCUCAGACAGGAGCCGACGGCUCAGACAGGAGCCGACGGCUCGGACACGAGCAGACGGCUCAGACAGGCGCAGACGGCUCAGACAGGAGCAGACACGCGCAGACAGCUCGGACAGGAGCCGACGGCUCGGACAGGAGCCGACGGCUCGGACAGGAGCAGACGGUUCAGACAGGCGCAGACGGCUCAGACAGGAGCCGACGGCUCAGACAGGAGCCGACGGCUCAGACAGGAGCCGACGGCUCGGACACGAGCAGACGGUUCAGACAGGAGCAGACACGCGCAGACAGCUCGGACAGGAGCCGACGGCUCGGACAGGAGCAGACGGUUCAGACAGGAGCAGACGGCUCAGACAGGAGCAGACGACUCAGACACAAGCCGACGGCUCAGACAGGAGCAGACGGCUCAGACACGAGCAGACGACUCAGACACGAGCAGACGGCUCAGACACGAGCAGACGGCUCAGACAGGAGCCGACGGCUCAGACAGGAGCAGACACGCGCAGACGGCUCAGACAGGAGCAGACGGGUCAGACAGGAGCCGACGGCUCAGACAGGAGCCGACGGCUCAGACACGAGCAGACGGCUCAGACAGGAGCAGACGGCUCAGACAGGAGCAGACACGCGCAGACAGCUCAGACAGGAGCAGACGGCUCAGACAGGAGCAGACGGCUCAGACACGAGCAGACGGCUCAGACACGAGCAGACGGCUCAGGCACGAGCAGACGGCUCAGGCAGGAGCAGACGGCUCAGGCAGGAGCAGACGGCUCAGGCACGAGCAGACGGCUCAGGCACGAGCAGACGGCUCAGGCAGGAGCAGACGGCUCAGGCAGGAGCAGACGGCUCAGACACGAGCAGACGGCUCAGACAGGAGCAGACGGCUCAGACAGGAGCAGACGGCUCAGACAGGAGCAGACGGCUCAGACAGGAGCAGACGGCUCAGACAGGAGCAGACGGCUCAGACAGGAGCAGACACGAGCAGACGGCUCAGACAGGAGCCGAUGGCUCAGACACGCGCAGACGGCUCAGACAGGAGCAGACGGCUCAGACAGGAGCAGACACGCGCAGACGGCUCAGACAGGAGCAGACGGCUCAGACAGGAGCAGACGGCUCAGACACGAGCAGACGGCUCAGACAGGAGCAGACGGCUCAGGCACGAGCAGACGACUCAGACAGGAGCCGACGGCUCAGACACGAGCAGACGGCUCAGACAGGAGCAGACGGCUCAGACAGGAGCAGACACGCGCAUACGGCUCGGACAGGAGCCGAUGGCUCAGACACGCGCAGACGGCUCAGACAGGAGCCGACGGCUCAGACACGAGCAGACGGCUCAGACAGGAGCAGACGGCUCAGACACGAGCAGACGGCUCAGACAGGAGCAGACGGCUCAGGCAGGAGCAGACGGCUCAGGCAGGAGCAGACGGCUCAGGCACGAGCAGACGGCUCAGACACGAGCAGACGGCUCAGGCAGGAGCAGACGGCUCAGGCAGGAGCAGACGGCUCAGACAGGAGCAGACGGCUCAGACAGGAGCAGACGGCUCAGACAGGAGCAGACACGCGCAUACGGCUCGGACAGGAGCCGAUGGCUCAGACACGCGCAGACGGCUCAGACAGGAGCAGACGGCUCAGACAGGAGCAGACACGCGCAGACGGCUCAGACAGGAGCAGACGGCUCAGACACGAGCAGACAACUCAGACAGGAGCAGACGGCUCAGGCAGGAGCAGACGGCUCAGGCAGGAGCAGACGGCUCAGGCACGAGCAGACGGCUCAGACACGAGCAGACGGCUCAGGCAGGAGCAGACGGCUCAGACAGGAGCAGACGGCUCAGACAGGAGCAGACGGCUCAGACAGGAGCAGACGGCUCAGACAGGAGCAGACGGCUCAGACAGGAGCAGACACGAGCAGACGGCUCAGACAGGUGCAGACGGUUCAGACAGGACCUGACGGUUCAGACAGGAGCAGACGGUUCAGACAGGAGCAGACGGUUCAGACAGGAGCAGACAGGAGCAGACACGAGCAGACGUCUCAGACAGGUGCAGACGGUUCAGACAGGAGCAGACGGCUCAGACAGGAGCAGACGGUUCAGACAGGAGCAGACGGCUCAGACAGGAGCAGACGGCUCAGACAGGAGCAGACGGCUCAGACAGGAGCAGACGGCUCAGACAGGAGCAGACACGAGCAGACGGCUCAGACAGGUGCAGACGGUUCAGACAGGACCCGACGGUUCAGACAGGAGCAGACGGUUCAGACAGGAGCAGACAGGAGCAGACACAAGCAGACGGCUCUGACAGGGUUAGAUAACUCUCUAAAAGAAACAUAUUUAUAA